CCUGAGAAACCCGAAAGUUCGAAUGGGGAGAUUCAAUGUCAGCGAUUUUGGUACUUGUGCGGUUCGCGAUGCCGGAGACCUCGGUCUCAUGGCACGCGUCCGCAUGUUUUUUAUUGCCUGAAUCGUCGGCGUGCACUUCUCCCCUAGUAGGACGUCGCGACCCGUUGGGUGUCGGUCUACGACCCGGGCGGUAGACUGUCUCGUGUUCGCUUCAUCGCGUUACGCGGGGCAGACCCCUGUGUGUCUGGCCGGCUGCUCGGCGGUACUCGCACGAUAUCUGGCCGCAAACAUUCGAACUGCGUCCGGCCCGUCGCAAGCGAGGCAAGUGUUUCCCGGCUGUACGGAUCUAAUGCCGUCACCGGGCCUUGCCAGCUGUUGGUUGACGGUGCCCUAGGACAGGCCAAUAAAAUUAUGAUAUCGGUCGGCGACGCUACUGCUUUGGGUACUUUCAGGACCCGUCUUGAAACACGGA
This 472-nucleotide ribosomal RNA is filed under the name Phygadeuon sp. BF001046. RNAcentral describes it as "eukaryotic LSU rRNA". Lineage: Eukaryota; Metazoa; Arthropoda; Insecta; Hymenoptera; Ichneumonidae. The record is from RNAcentral.